This is a long non-coding RNA of Ctenopharyngodon idella (grass carp), 4609 nucleotides long. RefSeq lists it as uncharacterized. The transcript is spliced from 2 exons. The record is from RefSeq and is a predicted model, not a curated record. NCBI's taxonomy places the organism in Eukaryota, Metazoa, Chordata, Actinopteri, Cypriniformes, Xenocyprididae.
AUCAGCUUAUUAGUCGAGACUCCAAGACCUGAAAUGGGUGUGUCAGACAAAGGAGACAUGCAAAAUGUGCAGUGCUGGGGAGCCUCCAGGAAUAUGUUUGGGAACCCCUUCUCUAACCAUUGGGCCACAACUGCACCAUGAUGAUAAUAAAUGAUAAUAAAGCAGCAAAUUUCAGCACUUAUGAAGUAGCAGAACUGAGGCUGAACUGUGCCAGUCAGGUGACCUCUCCAGCCGCUGCAGUGAAGUGAUAGGAAAGCGGUGGGUCUUGGCACUUAAUCAACCGAAGUCGAAUAACGCUGCUACAAGGAAGCAGUGAAUCCCUGUUAACUAACCCAGAAUCAACUGCAGUGGAACCAUGCGGUGUCAGGAGCCAAAACAGUGAUAAUGAAAUAAACAACAUUUAUGAGGAUAACAUACAUCAGCUAUAACCUGCUGUUUUAGAGGUUUUACUUAACUGAGUGGGCUGAGCACCGGCAGUGCCUGCAAUGACGAAAAAGCCUAGCAGACCUUGUUAAAACACCGCAGCCAAGAGAGGAGAAGAAGGCGGUGCCUAUGGAACAAGUCCUACUCUACCCGCUCCAAUCGGGACUUGAAAUGGCAUUGGGGAGUGAGGUUUACACGCACAACUCUUACUAGCUUGCCUUCGUUACACCUAAACUGCUGCUGACAAAACAGUUGUUAUGGGCUUCCUAUCAUAAAACUAGCUUUCCAGGAUCCGAGAAGCUAGCGAAGAAACUUCCAGAUGGAAUGAGGCAAAAGUGUUCGGAGAAGCCUAUUCUGACGCUGAGCAUAUGUCUUCAAUAGAUGUUCUGCUCACCCAUGCCCAUGAGGGCUUGUAGAGUGGUCUCGAAACCCUAUAGGGCAUUCCACGUUCUGUGAACUGUAAGCCAAAGCUAUCACAUCCACAAUCCAAUGGAAUAGCCUCUGCUUCGAUACCAACAGACCCUUUAGUGCAACUACCGAAGCACAUAAAGAGCUGCACAGAGAGUCUAAACUGCCUAGUGUGCUCUACAUAAAUACGCAGAGCACGUAGAGGGCAAGAAACUGCAAGGUAGGGGGGUUGUCCCUGGCAGCAGGUUAGCUUGGAGCAAAAGCUGAUAUAGGUAUAACCUGGACUCUGAACAAUGUUGAGAGCACCUUAGGAACAUAACCUUUUCUUAAUUUGAAAGCAACUCUACAGUCACUUGAGCCAAAAACCAUGCAGGACUCGCUAACUAAAAAAAGUGCACAUAUUCACUCACUCGCUUAACUGAUGCGAGUGCAAGCAAGCACUGUCUUGAAAGAGAGCACUUACAGCGAAGCCAACUGGAGUGGCUAAAAUGGGGAGCAUGUCAAGGCUUUCAGAUCUAAAGCCAAAUCCCAAGUGGUGAUUGUAGAUGGGCGAGCAGGGUUUAGCCGUCUCAUGCCGUGUAAAAAUGUACGUAUACUUUGAGCGUAGAAGGCGCACGGCCGGCAUCUAAGCACUCCAUCAAGAAUGGAAUCAAACAAGGGUCCUCAUUUCUCAAGCUGGACCAGCUCUCAAAGACUUUCCAUUUAUGAGCAUAGAGGCGCCAGGAAGAAGGGGCUCUUGGGGCUCUGGCUCUUGCUUCAGUACUUUAGAUUGAGCACCCCGCCUGAGAGGAGGUCCCCCCGGGGGAUAUGCAUAUGAUGGUGACAAGCCAUUGUAGCGUCUGUAUACUUGAGCAUGAAGGGCAUACAGUUGGGCAUACUCUUGAAUAAAGACAAAGUGAUUGACAUGGGGCAAUUCACCAGUGCUCUAGUCCAGCUUUCUAUACUAGUUAGUGGACGAUACUCAGAUUAGCAAUGUCAGAAAACGCCUGUGAUCUGAGACAUGAGAAUAGACAUAUUUCAGGUCCACUGAUAUAAUGUCUGUUUCAGUGCGCUCAAUUAAACUAAUGCUUUGACAGAGCGUGAUUUGGUGGUCCCAGAUCCAAGAUGAGAAGGGAACCACUGUCUUUGAUGGGGCCCGGACAGUGGCCUGUCACACUUCUGUACAACAUAUAGUAACAGAAGCUGAAACAUUUUGUGCUUAAAACUAGGCAACCAAAAGCUGGGAGCUGCUUAUACUGUGAGAGUGAGGAAGAGCUGGAGAUAUGAAACUGCUGCACUUUUUGUGUAUACAUAUAUACUGACUUAAUGCACUGCACAGUGGAACAGUCAGAACAUGAAGGCAACUAUUGUUCUCGUCGCCCGCAACGAGCAGGGGGGACGUGAGAGACAGAAACAAGAGAGCGGACAGUCUUGCUUUGUGGAUGAGAGCAAAGUGGCGGUAUUGCUUACGUUACAGCAGCGAUGAGCUACCGGACCUAGUUAAAACACCAUGGGUUGAUGAGAGCAAAGCGACGUCAGUGCCGGUGCUAUUACCUAUAUCACAGUAAUGUGAGUUACCGGGCCUGGUUGAACACAGCUCCUGAUUUACUGCAGCGGCAGUGUUGGUGCUUUAUCCAUCACAGGACUUGUCAAUAUAAUGCCCAAAUAUCAAUAAGGUACAGUCAUGAAGGAAGUAAUUACAGAUUGGGAGUGCACUUGUGAAAGGUGGGCUUGCAUCAACAUAAAGCCCAGUUUCACUCCCUGAGAAGGGGAUAUGCUGGGAGGUUGAGUGGCAGAAUCCUAUUAUAGUUUAACACACUCUCUGAAUGAACCAUGAUCAGUCAGUCAUCAAGAUCAUUUAGCACACGAACUCCACUAAUUUUAGAAGGGAGAGAACCACGUUCAUACAUUCCAUGAAUGUACACACUCAUUGUAGGGAGUGCUAAGUGGUUCUCUGUGCUCAUAAAGCAAUUUUGUGAUGAGGGCUAUCUGAAUAUAGAAGUAGGCACUCGCCAGAUGUACUGAGAUAAACAGCGCUUUAAAGCAAGGGGUGAGAGAACCUUCUGUUUUUCAGCUUUGUUGUACAGCACAGUGGAACAAUCACAGCACAAAGACAACUAGUGAUCUCAGCGCCCGCAAUAGGCAGGAAAACUGAGAGGGGUAAGACAAUGGGUAGACUUUACUGUCAACCAUUCCACAACGUUACGCAGCACUUUCCUCGUGUCAGGAACGGAUGGCAUUUUGGCCACGAGUUCUCUGGUUUUGUAGCUGGCUCAGGCUCUAUGCAAGAGGCUGAAGCUGGGCUUGAUAACCAUCGUGCAGAGCACUGUGCAGAGGAAGAUUGCUGAAAGCAGCAGCACAGCCAAUGUAUUUUUAUAGGAGGGCUAUGAGAGACAGCAUUGCCAGUGUACGCAGUGGUUAAUGUAAGCAACACAGCCAGUGCUUAUCAUAGAAGUCAUGAACGUCAGCAGUGCCGGCAUAUAUAACGACAGGGGGCUGCAUAAAUCGACUCCUAAGAGUCACCGGCGCUCAUCCUAGUCAUCUUCUGACAUGCCAAAAGAGAACAAAAGAGGUUACGGGUUCCAACGGAGGGGCAGAGACUGUUGAGGCAAGCCGAUACUGACUUGGAGCAAGCUCGUACCCUGACUCUUCAGCCUCCGGCUGCUCCUUACUCUGUGGCUCUUGGGCGGCGGAGGGUGGAAGCAGUUCAGCGGCCAGCUUAUCGUCAAAGAUGGUGUCGAUACGGAGGUGAAGGAUCCUGACACUCAUCGCUUCACAGUGAGGAUAGCCAAGUCCUUCCAGCACUGAAAGAAAUAGCCAUUCUUACCGGAACGCAUGCAGGGGAGCGGUAAUCAGGUGCUGUCCGCUGGUCGGAGUAAAUCUCAUCGUCGAGUAGCAAUUGGCUUCCUGAAGACAGAGCAGCUGUCUGAAGGAGAAAGAUUCUGAAGAAAUUCCAUUCACCGCCACCUUACAUAUGGGGAGCAUUCUCGCCCCUAUUUCAUCCGCUUGAACGUCAUUGGCCAUUGUGUUAUAAUGGCGUUAUCCUAAUAAGGCUUCGGUAUUUAGCGUCAGCUCUGACACAACGUUGAGGGACCAAGUUGAUAAGUGUAAAGUUAUAUAUAAGGUUUGUAAAGUUGUUUUUAAAGGUGUUGGGAAAAAAAUAAUUUGAAAAUAAAAAUUACAGCAUUAGUAGUAGCCCAUUACUAAUUACUAAAUUCUUCUUACUGACAUUAAUAUUCAUUAAUGUUCACGUAUUAACCUUAAAUAUAAUAAACCCCCACCAAAAAUAAAACAAACAAGCAUACUAACAUAAUCAAAAGUGCUUUUUCAGCCUGAAGAAUUAAACAACGGUCAAUCAAAGAUUUCAAACACUUUUUCAGGAGGAGUACAAUUACUUUAUACUUAGUACACAUAUGGCCAUUACAACAUAAACUAAUAAAAAUAAAUAAAUGAACAAAACUAACCUGAAUAACGGGUCAGAAACAGUCAGAGGUCUCUAUCCUAGUGAAUGGUCCAUUCAAACAGGAAUGUAGGGUCUCCAGUGAACGAACCCAGAGUGUCUCUCAGUACCGUAGAGAUGAUCCCUCUCCGAUCAAAGGGGUCAAACUCCACUUGCCUUCAUGUAACAAUACACGCUGGUUAAAAUGUAAGGGCGUUUUAUUACCAAAACAGUAAUGACAACAGAGCAAUGUUGCAACAUCACUUAUACAGAGUUACUUAGUAGAGGCGUCAACAUUUAUUAUACAUGAUACAUUACAAAAGAAAGGAAAACAAACUCUGAAAUAGCCAUCAUGUCAUU